AGAAUAAAUUAAUCACAGUGACUCCAGAUACCAAGGUUCUGUAGGCAAUGCAACUGAUGAUAGUACAACUUUGUUGGCUGUUUACUAGGACCACGUGGGAACUCCUUAAAAAGAGUUGAAGCUUCAACUCAAUGCAGGGUUUAUAUAUGAGGUCGAGGUUCAGUGAAGGAUUCUAUAAUG
Zingiber officinale is the source of this 180-nucleotide long non-coding RNA. RefSeq lists it as uncharacterized. The transcript is spliced from 2 exons. The record is from RefSeq and is a predicted model, not a curated record. Lineage: Eukaryota; Viridiplantae; Streptophyta; Magnoliopsida; Zingiberales; Zingiberaceae.